CGGCGUGCUUAACACAUGCAAGUCGAACGGACGGACUCGAUAGCUUGCUAUUGGGAAAGUUAGUGGCAAACGGGUGAGUAACGCGUAGGCAACCUGCCCUUCAGAUGGGGACAACACUUCGAAAGAGGUGCUAAUACCGAAUGACGUAUCCAUUCCGCAUGGAGAGGAUACCAAAGGCCGGGCAACCGGUCACUGAAGGAUGGGCCUGCGUCUGAUUAGCUAGUUGGUGGGGUAACGGCUCACCAAGGCGACGAUCAGUAGCCGGUCUGAGAGGAUGAACGGCCACAUUGGGACUGAGACACGGCCCAAACUCCUACGGGAGGCAGCAGUGGGAAUCUUCCGCAAUGGGCGCAAGCCUGACGGAGCAACGCCGCGUGAGUGAAGAAGGUUUUCGGAUCGUAAAGCUCUGUUGAGAGGGACGAGAGGCAAGGCUAGGAAAUGAGCUUUGUAGGACGGUACCUUUCGAGGAAGCCACGGCUAACUACGUG
This 488-nucleotide ribosomal RNA is filed under the name uncultured bacterium. RNAcentral's name for it is "bacterial SSU rRNA". It matches the Rfam family "Bacterial small subunit ribosomal RNA", at positions 40 to 507 of the family's 1533-position model. The record is from RNAcentral.